Molecule: ribosomal RNA, 863 nt
Filed under: uncultured archaeon
Lineage: Archaea
Description: bacterial SSU rRNA
Rfam family: Archaeal small subunit ribosomal RNA
Source: RNAcentral
UUCCGGUGGAUCCUGCCGGAGGUUACUGCUAUCGAGGUUCGACUAAGCCAUGCGAGUCGAAUGCCGCAAGGCAUGGCGUACUGCUCAGUAACACGUGGACAACCUACCCUUAGGUCGGGGAUAACCCCGGGAAACUGGGUAUAAUACCCGAUAGUCCUCGAAUGCUGGAAUGCACCGAGGACGAAAGCUCCGGUGCCUAAGGAUGGGUCUGCGGCCUAUCAGGUAGUAGUGGGUGUAGCGUACCUACUAGCCUACGACGGGUACGGGUUGUGAGAGCAAGAGCCCGGAGAUGGAUUCUGAGACACGAAUCCAGGCCCUACGGGGUGCAGCAGGCGCGAAAACUUUACAAUGCUGGCAACAGCGAUAAGGGAACCUCGAGUGCCAGGUUACAAAUCUGGCUGUCGAGAUGCCUAAAAAGCAUUUCAUAGCAAGGGCCGGGCAAGACCGGUGCCAGCCGCCGCGGUAACACCGGCGGCUCGAGUGGUAACCGUUAUUAUUGGGUCUAAAGGGUCUGUAGCCGGCCGGAUAAGUCUCUUGGGAAAUCUGGCAGCUCAACUGUCACGCUAUCAGAGAUACUGUCUGGCUCGAGGCCGGGAGAGGUGAGAGGUACUUCAGGGUAGGGGUGAAAUCUUGUAAUCCUUGAAGGACCACCAGUGGCGAAGGCGUCUCACCAGAACGGACCUGACGGCAAGGGACGAAAGCUAGGGGCACGAACCGGAUUAGAUACCCGGGUAGUCCUAGCCGUAAACGAUACUCGCUAGGUGUCGGCCACGGUGCGACCGUGGUCGGUGCCGUAGGGAAGCCGUGAAGCGAGCCACCUGGGAAGUACGGCCGCAAGGCUGAAACUUAAAGGAAUUGGCGGG